GCCCCGUGGUGUAUAUAUCAUGUUGGAUUGCAAAUCCAGAGAUGCAGGCUAAUUGCCUGCCGGGGCUU
Molecule: transfer RNA, 68 nt
Filed under: Hoplisoma duplicareum
Lineage: Eukaryota; Metazoa; Chordata; Actinopteri; Siluriformes; Callichthyidae
Description: Corydoras duplicareus tRNA-Cys
Rfam family: tRNA
About the family: Transfer RNA (tRNA) molecules are approximately 80 nucleotides in length. Their secondary structure includes four short double-helical elements and three loops (D, anti-codon, and T loops). Further hydrogen bonds mediate the characteristic L-shaped molecular structure. tRNAs have two regions of fundamental functional importance: the anti-codon, which is responsible for specific mRNA codon recognition, and the 3' end, to which the tRNAs corresponding amino acid is attached (by aminoacyl-tRNA synthetases). tRNAs cope with the degeneracy of the genetic code in two manners: having more than one tRNA (with a specific anti-codon) for a particular amino acid; and 'wobble' base-pairing, i.e. permitting non-standard base-pairing at the 3rd anti-codon position.
Source: RNAcentral